GGCGAAAUUGUAGUGCAAGUGAAGAUGCUUGCUACCCGCGAUUGGACGGAAAGACCCCGUAGAGCUUUACUGUAGCUUAGCAUUGAAUCUCGGUAUUGUCUGUACAGGAUAGGUGGGAGACUUGGAAACUUGGGCGUCAGCCUGAGUGGAGUCAUCCUUGGGAUACCACCCUGACAGUACUGGGGUUCUAACCGGCGGCCAUGAAUCUGGUCACGGGACAUUGUUAGGUGGGCAGUUUGACUGGGGCGGUCGCCUCCUAAAAAGUAACGGAGGCGCCCAAAAGUUCCCUCAGCGCGGUCGGAAAUCGCGCGAAGAGUGCAAAGGC
RNAcentral lists this ribosomal RNA (325 nucleotides) under Clostridium botulinum. Its description in RNAcentral is "partial 23S ribosomal RNA". It matches the Rfam family "Bacterial large subunit ribosomal RNA", at positions 2035 to 2358 of the family's 2925-position model. Lineage: Bacteria; Bacillati; Bacillota; Clostridia; Eubacteriales; Clostridiaceae. The record is from RNAcentral.